GAUGAACGCUGGCGGCGUGCCUAAUACAUGCAAGUCGAGCGAACAGACGAGGAGCUUGCGCCUCUGACGUUAGCGGAGGACGGGUGAGUAACACGUGGAUAACCUACCUAUCAGACGGGGAUCACUUCGGGAAACCGGAGCUAAUACCGGAGAAUAUAUUGAACCGCAGGGGUCAUUAGUGAAAGACGGUGUUGCGGGCACUUCUAGAGGGAUCCCCGCCGCAUGGGCUGGUUGGUAAGGUAAAGGCUUACCAAGGCAACGAGGCGUAGACGACCUGAGUGGGUGAUCGGCCACACUGGAACUGAGCCACGCUCCAGACUCCUACGGGAGGCCGCAGUAGGGAAUCUUCCGCAGUGGGCGAAAGCCUGACGGAGUAACCCCGCGUGAGUGAUGAAGAUCCCCGGAUCGUAAAGCUCUGUUACGAGGGAAGAACAAAUGUGUACGUAACUAUGGACGUCGUGACGGUACCUAAUCAGAAAGCCCCGGCUAACUACGUG
This 497-nucleotide ribosomal RNA is filed under the name uncultured bacterium. RNAcentral describes it as "partial 16S ribosomal RNA". It matches the Rfam family "Bacterial small subunit ribosomal RNA", at positions 28 to 507 of the family's 1533-position model. The record is from RNAcentral.